RNAcentral lists this small nuclear RNA (193 nucleotides) under Diplodia corticola. RNAcentral describes it as "Botryosphaeria corticola U2 spliceosomal RNA". It matches the Rfam family "U2 spliceosomal RNA". Rfam says of the family: U2 is a small nuclear RNA (snRNA) component of the spliceosome (involved in pre-mRNA splicing). Complementary binding between U2 snRNA (in an area lying towards the 5' end but 3' to hairpin I) and the branchpoint sequence (BPS) of the intron results the bulging out of an unpaired adenosine, on the BPS, which initiates a nucleophilic attack at the intronic 5' splice site, thus starting the first of two transesterification reactions that mediate splicing. Lineage: Eukaryota; Fungi; Ascomycota; Dothideomycetes; Botryosphaeriales; Botryosphaeriaceae. The record is from Rfam by way of RNAcentral.
UCAGCUCCUUUUGCCAUUUGGCUUAGGUCAAGAGUAUUCUGUUCUUUUUUAGAUUAAUCUCUAUUAUCUCCCUACGGGGUCGCUCUCACUUGAUUAUGAUUUUUGGAACUCGCCAUGGAGCUUAUGAGCGCUGCUCAUCCUCCAUGGCACAGUGUCCCUCGUAUUGCACUGCUUCGAGGUGAUGCGAACUUUU